GGCUGUCCUGGCUCAGGCUGUAAGAGAAGGGAGUGUUAGGACGAUUUAGGACCAGUUCGAGGUGUUGGUUGGCCGGUUUGAAUGGUCCCAGUUCGAUAACCAGGAGGGAUACAGAGAUGGGAGUAGUGGGGAUAGUCAGGGAAUUUAUCUGACUAUCUCGUGUCAAAAUUUGGAAACACUAACUCUAUUCCAAGUGGGUGAAAAAUGGAAAAAGGUUGAGAGAUGUCAGAGCAGUUUGGUGAAAAAUUUGACUAUGUUCGACACAAACACCUGGAAAUAAAUGGUCAUAGUUCAAUAGUCAGGAGGGAUAGAGAGAUGGGAAUAGUAGAGAUAGUCAGGGAAUUGAUCUGACUAUCUCGUGUCAAAAUUUGGGAGCCCUAACUCUAUUCCAAGUGGGUGAAAAAUGGAAAAAGGUUGAGAGAUGUCAGAGCAGUUUGGUGAAAAAUUUGACUAUGUUCGACACAAACACCUGGAAAUAAAUGGUCAUAGUUCAAUAGUCAGGAGGGAUAGACAGAUGGGAAUAGUAGAGAUAGUCAGGGAAUUUAUCUGACUAUCUCGUGUCAAAAUCUGGGAGCCCUAACUCUAUUCCAAGUGGGUGAAAAAUGGAAAAAGGUUGAGAGAUGUCAGAGCAGUUUGGUGAAAAAUUUGACUAUGUUCGACACAAACACCUGGAAACAAAUGGUCAUAGUUCAAUAGUCAAGAGGGAUAGAGAGAUGGGAAUAGU
Long non-coding RNA from Eriocheir sinensis (Chinese mitten crab), 724 nucleotides. RefSeq lists it as uncharacterized. Lineage: Eukaryota; Metazoa; Arthropoda; Malacostraca; Decapoda; Varunidae. The transcript has 3 exons. The record is from RefSeq and is a predicted model, not a curated record.